This 253-nucleotide ribosomal RNA is filed under the name uncultured bacterium. RNAcentral's name for it is "partial 16S ribosomal RNA". It matches the Rfam family "Bacterial small subunit ribosomal RNA", at positions 524 to 776 of the family's 1533-position model. The record is from RNAcentral.
UACGGGGGGGGCAAGCGUUGUUCGGAAUUACUGGGCGUAAAGGGCUCGUAGGCGGCCAACUAAGUCGGAUGUGAAAUCCCCAGGCUCAACCUGGGAACUGCAUCCGAUACUGGAUGGCUUGAAUUCGGGAGAGGGAUGCAGAAUUCCAGGUGUAGCGGUGAAAUGCGUAGAUAUCUGGAGGAAUACCGGUGGCGAAGGCGGCAUCCUGGACCGACAUUGACGCUGAGGAGCGAAAGCAUGGGGAGCGAACAGG